GACGAACGCUGGCGGCGUGCUUAACACAUGCAAGUCGAACGGAAAGGCCCUGCUUUUGUGGGGUGCUCGAGUGGCGAACGGGUGAGUAACACGUGAGUAACCUGCCCUUGACUUUGGGAUAACUUCAGGAAACUGGGGCUAAUACCGGAUAGGAGCUCCUGCUGCAUGGUGGGGGUUGGAAAGUUUCGGCGGUUGGGGAUGGACUCGCGGCUUAUCAGCUUGUUGGUGGGGUAGUGGCUUACCAAGGCUUUGACGGGUAGCCGGCCUGAGAGGGUGACCGGCCAGAAUGGGCCGUGCAAGCGCACAAGUCUACUAGGGGGGGGAGGAGGGGGGAAUUUACGACAGUGGGAGGCGCCCUGACGCAAGAGCGCGGGGGGGGGGAUGGCGGCCUGUGUGUCGCGGCCCGCGUGGGCUGGGAGGGAGGGGUUAGGGGUGGUAAAGGGAAAAGAAGCACCGAAUGACGAGGUGCCGGCGGCGGAGAUAAAAGAGGGAAGAGCUAGUCUACCC
Molecule: ribosomal RNA, 507 nt
Filed under: uncultured bacterium
Lineage: Bacteria
Description: partial 16S ribosomal RNA
Rfam family: Bacterial small subunit ribosomal RNA (bases 15-371)
Source: RNAcentral